AGAGUUUGAUCCUGGCUCAGGACGAACGCUGGCGGCGCGCCUAACACAUGCAAGUCGAACGAGCGAGAGAGAGCUUGCUUUCUCGAGCGAGUGGCGAACGGGUGAGUAACGCGUGAGGAACCUGCCUCAAAGAGGGGGACAACAGUUGGAAACGACUGCUAAUACCGCAUAAGCCCACGGCUCGGCAUCGAGCAGAGGGAAAAGGAGCAAUCCGCUUUGAGAUGGCCUCGCGUCCGAUUAGCUAGUUGGUGAGGUAAUGGCCCACCAAGGCGACGAUCGGUAGCCGGACUGAGAGGUUGAACGGCCACAUUGGGACUGAGACACGGCCCAGACUCCUACGGGAGGCAGCAGUGGGGAAUAUUGCACAAUGGGGGAAACCCUGAUGCAGCGACGCCGCGUGGAGGAAGAAGGUCUUCGGAUUGUAAACUCCUGUUGUUGAGGAAGAUAAUGACGGUACUCAACAAGGAAGUGACGGCUAACUACGUGCCAGCAGCCGCGGUAAAACGUAGGUCACAAGCGUUGUCCGGAAUUACUGGGUGUAAAGGGAGCGCAGGCGGGAAGACAAGUUGGAAGUGAAAUCCAUGGGCUCAACCCAUGAACUGCUUUCAAAACUGUUUUUCUUGAGUAGUGCAGAGGUAGGCGGAAUUCCCGGUGUAGCGGUGGAAUGCGUAGAUAUCGGGAGGAACACCAGUGGCGAAGGCGGCCUACUGGGCACCAACUGACGCUGAGGCUCGAAAGUGUGGGUAGCAAACAGGAUUAGAUACCCUGGUAGUCCACACUGUAAACGAUGAUUACUAGGUGUUGGAGGAUUGACCCCUUCAGCGCCGCAGUUAACACAAUAAGUAAUCCACCUGGGGAGUACGACCGCAAGGUUGAAACUCAAAGGAAUUGACGGGGGCCGCACAAGCGGAGGAACAUGUGGUUUAAUUCGAUGAUACGCGAGGAACCUUACCCGGGCUUGAAUUGCAGAGGAAGGAUUUGGAGACAAUGACGCCCUUCGGGGCCUCUGUGAAGGUGCUGCCUGGUUGUCGUCAGCUCGUGCCGUGAGGUGUCGGCUUAAGUGCCAUAACGAGCGCAACCCCUCUCCUUAGUUGCCAUCAGGUUAAGCUGGGCACUCUGGGGACACUGCCACCGUAAGGUGUGAGGAAGGUGGGGAUGACGUCAAAUCAGCACGGCCCUUACGUCCGGGGCUACACACGUGUUACAAUGGCAGGUACAGAGAGACGGUUGUACGUAAGUACGAUCAAAUCCUUAAAGCCUGUCUCAGUUCGGACUGGGGUCUGCAACCCGACCCCACGACUCUGGAUUCGCUAGUAAUCGCGCAUCAGCCAUGGCGCGGUGAAUACGUUCCCGGGCCUUGUACACACCGCCCGUCAAGCCAUGAAAGCCGGGGGCGCCUAAAGUCCGUGACCGUAAGGAGCGGCCUAGGGCGAAACUGGUAAUUGGGGCUAAGUCGUAACAAGGUA
This 1466-nucleotide ribosomal RNA is filed under the name metagenome. RNAcentral's name for it is "bacterial SSU rRNA". It matches the Rfam family "Bacterial small subunit ribosomal RNA". The record is from RNAcentral.